GGCUCCUUGGUCAAGAGGCCUAAGACAUCGCCCUUUCACGGCGGUAACACGAGUUCGAAUCUCGUAGGAGUCACCA
This 76-nucleotide transfer RNA is filed under the name Candidatus Fimimonas gallinarum. Its description in RNAcentral is "tRNA-Glu". It matches the Rfam family "tRNA". From Rfam's summary of the family: Transfer RNA (tRNA) molecules are approximately 80 nucleotides in length. Their secondary structure includes four short double-helical elements and three loops (D, anti-codon, and T loops). RNAcentral also lists the same sequence under 1 other name. Lineage: Bacteria; Pseudomonadati; Myxococcota; Myxococcia; Myxococcales; Myxococcaceae. The record is from RNAcentral.